RNAcentral lists this ribosomal RNA (1554 nucleotides) under Escherichia coli. RNAcentral describes it as "bacterial SSU rRNA". It matches the Rfam family "Bacterial small subunit ribosomal RNA". The record is from RNAcentral. Lineage: Bacteria; Pseudomonadati; Pseudomonadota; Gammaproteobacteria; Enterobacterales; Enterobacteriaceae.
UUAAAUUGAAGAGUUUGAUCAUGGCUCAGAUUGAACGCUGGCGGCAGGCCUAACACAUGCAAGUCGAACGGUAACAGGAAACAGCUUGCUGUUUCGCUGACGAGUGGCGGACGGGUGAGUAAUGUCUGGGAAACUGCCUGAUGGAGGGGGAUAACUACUGGAAACGGUAGCUAAUACCGCAUAAUGUCGCAAGACCAAAGAGGGGGACCUUCGGGCCUCUUGCCAUCGGAUGUGCCCAGAUGGGAUUAGCUAGUAGGUGGGGUAACGGCUCACCUAGGCGACGAUCCCUAGCUGGUCUGAGAGGAUGACCAGCCACACUGGAACUGAGACACGGUCCAGACUCCUACGGGAGGCAGCAGUGGGGAAUAUUGCACAAUGGGCGCAAGCCUGAUGCAGCCAUGCCGCGUGUAUGAAGAAGGCCUUCGGGUUGUAAAGUACUUUCAGCGGGGAGGAAGGGAGUAAAGUUAAUACCUUUGCUCAUUGACGUUACCCGCAGAAGAAGCACCGGCUAACUCCGUGCCAGCAGCCGCGGUAAUACGGAGGGUGCAAGCGUUAAUCGGAAUUACUGGGCGUAAAGCGCACGCAGGCGGUUUGUUAAGUCAGAUGUGAAAUCCCCGGGCUCAACCUGGGAACUGCAUCUGAUACUGGCAAGCUUGAGUCUCGUAGAGGGGGGUGGAAUUCCAGGUGUAGCGGUGAAAUGCGUAGAGAUCUGGAGGAAUACCGGUGGCGAAGGCGGCCCCCUGGACGAAGACUGACGCUCAGGUGCGAAAGCGUGGGGAGCAAACAGGAUUAGAUACCCUGGUAGUCCACGCCGUAAACGAUGUCGACUUGGAGGUUGUGCCCUUGAGGCGUGGCUUCCGGAGCUAACGCGUUAAGUCGACCGCCUGGGGAGUACGGCCGCAAGGUUAAAACUCAAAUGAAUUGACGGGGGCCCGCACAAGCGGUGGAGCAUGUGGUUUAAUUCGAUGCAACGCGAAGAACCUUACCUGGUCUUGACAUCCACAGAACUUUCCAGAGAUGGAUUGGUGCCUUCGGGAACUGUGAGACAGGUGCUGCAUGGCUGUCGUCAGCUCGUGUUGUGAAAUGUUGGGUUAAGUCCCGCAACGAGCGCAACCCUUAUCCUUUGUUGCCAGCGGUCCGGCCGGGAACUCAAAGGAGACUGCCAGUGAUAAACUGGAGGAAGGUGGGGAUGACGUCAAGUCAUCAUGGCCCUUACGACCAGGGCUACACACGUGCUACAAUGGCGCAUACAAAGAGAAGCGACCUCGCGAGAGCAAGCGGACCUCAUAAAGUGCGUCGUAGUCCGGAUUGGAGUCUGCAACUCGACUCCAUGAAGUCGGAAUCGCUAGUAAUCGUGGAUCAGAAUGCCACGGUGAAUACGUUCCCGGGCCUUGUACACACCGCCCGUCACACCAUGGGAGUGGGUUGCAAAAGAAGUAGGUAGCUUAACCUUCGGGAGGGCGCUUACCACUUUGUGAUUCAUGACUGGGGUGAAGUCGUAACAAGGUAACCGUAGGGGAACCUGCGGUUGGAUCACCUCCUUACCUUAAAGAA